RNAcentral lists this ribosomal RNA (497 nucleotides) under uncultured bacterium. RNAcentral's name for it is "partial 16S ribosomal RNA". It matches the Rfam family "Bacterial small subunit ribosomal RNA", at positions 28 to 507 of the family's 1533-position model. The record is from RNAcentral.
GAUGAACGCUGGCGGCGUGCCUAAUACAUGCAAGUCGAGCGAACAGAUGAGGAGCUUGCUCCUCUGACGUUAGCGGCGGACGGGUGAGUAACACGUGGAUAACCUACCUAUAAAACUGGGAUAACUUCGGGAAACCGGAGCUAAUACCGGAUAAUAUAUUGAACCGCAUGGUUCAAUAGUGAAAGACGGUUUUGCUGUCACUUAUAGAUGGAUCCGCGCCGCAUUAGCUAGUUGGUAAGGUAACGGCUUACCAAGGCAACGAUGCGUAGCCGACCUGAGAGGGUGAUCGGACACACUGGGACUGAGACACGGUCCAGACUCCUACGGGAGGCAGCAGUAGGGAAUCUUCCGCAAUGGGCGAAAGCCUGACGGAGCAACGCCGCGUGAGUGAUGAAGGUCUUCGGAUCGUAAAACUCUGUUAUUAGGGAAGAACAAAUGUGUAAGUAACUAUGCACGUCUUGACGGUACCUAAUCAGAAAGCCACGGCUAACUACGUG